This 340-nucleotide unclassified non-coding RNA is filed under the name soil metagenome. RNAcentral's name for it is "partial contains 5.8S ribosomal RNA, internal transcribed spacer 2, and large subunit ribosomal RNA". The stretch from base 1 to 120 matches the Rfam family "5.8S ribosomal RNA", at positions 35 to 154 of the family's 154-position model. The record is from RNAcentral.
GAUGAAGAACGCAGUGAAAUGCGAUAAGUAGUGUGAAUUGCAGAAUUUAGUGAAUCAUCGAAUCUUUGAACGCACAUUGCGCCCUUUGGUAUUCCUUAGGGCAUGCCUGUUCGAGCGUCAUCUACACCCUCAAGCACAGCUUGGUGAUGGGCGCCUGUCCCGCCCCCCACGGGGGCGCGGACUCGCCUCAAAUGCAUUGGCGGCCGGCGACCUGGCUUCGAGCGCAGCAGAAACGCGUACUCGGGGACCGGGCGCCCGCUCCCAGAAGCCAACCCACCCAGUUUGACCUCGGAUCAGGUAGGGAUACCCGCUGAACUUAAGCAUAUCAAUAAGCGGAGGA